This 253-nucleotide ribosomal RNA is filed under the name uncultured bacterium. RNAcentral describes it as "partial 16S ribosomal RNA". It matches the Rfam family "Bacterial small subunit ribosomal RNA", at positions 524 to 776 of the family's 1533-position model. The record is from RNAcentral.
UACAGAGGGUGCGAGCGUUAAUCGGAAUUACUGGGCGUAAAGCGUGCGUAGACGGUUAUCUAAGUCGGAUGUGAAAGCCCCGGGCUCAACCUGGGAAUUGCAUUCGAGACUGAAUAGCUAGGGUGCGGUAGAGGGAAGCGGAAUUUCCGGUGUAGCGGUGAAAUGCGUAGAUAUGCGGAGGAACACCGAUGGCGAAGGCAAUCCCCUGGGCCUGCACUGACGCUCAUGCACGAAAGCGUGGGGAGCAAACAGG